RNAcentral lists this ribosomal RNA (459 nucleotides) under uncultured bacterium. RNAcentral's name for it is "partial 16S ribosomal RNA". It matches the Rfam family "Bacterial small subunit ribosomal RNA", at positions 338 to 795 of the family's 1533-position model. The record is from RNAcentral.
CCUACGGGCGGCAGCAGUGAGGAAUAUUGGUCAAUGGGCGGAAGCCUGAACCAGCCAAGUAGCGUGCGGGAUGAAGGCCCUAAGGGUCGUAAACCGCUUUUGCACGGGGAUAACACCCUCCACUUGUGGAGGUCUGCAGGUACCGUGCGAAUAAGGACCGGCUAAUUCCGUGCCAGCAGCCGCGGUAAUACGGAGGACCCGAGCGUUAUCCGGAUUUAUUGGGUUUAAAGGGUGCGUAGGCGGGCUGUCAAGUCAGCUGUAAAAUCGCGCGGCUCAACCGCGCCCCGCAGUUGAAACUGGACGCCUUGAGUUCACAACAGGCAGGCGGAAUUCGUGGUGUAGCGGUGAAAGGCAUAGAUAUCACGAGGAACCCCGAUUGCGAAGGCAGCCUACCGGGGGGCGACUGACGCUGAGGCUCGAAGGUGCGGGUAUCAAACAGGAUUAGAUACCCUUGUAGUC